Molecule: long non-coding RNA, 401 nt
Organism: Leptidea sinapis
Lineage: Eukaryota; Metazoa; Arthropoda; Insecta; Lepidoptera; Pieridae
Exons: 2
Source: RefSeq, a predicted model, not a curated record
AGUCAAGAUACGAAUGUAAUAUAAUUAUAUAAACGUUAAUUAAAUACAUGAUAAACACUUAUAAAGUUCCAUAUAAAUAUAGAGCGAAAUUUAAAAAUGACAUAAUGUAAUCUAGCAGUUUAGAAAAUGGCGUCCAAGUCAGUGAUUAUCUUCGCUCUCAUCGCAUGCGUAUUAACUUUGACUACUGAUGCUUCAGGACCAUUAAGACGCUACGUUGUAUAUCCGGAAACACCAGACACUAAUGUUGGACCAAAUUAUUCGUCUAACCAAGUUAUUGCUGAAGAUUCUGCCGUAAACAAUAUAGGACAAGGAAUUGCUUCAGAAAUAUAGUAAACAAAAUUGAACAAUAGAAUAGUAAUAAUACAGAACAGUAUGAGCAAAUAAACAUUAUAAUUUUUUGA